UACGGAGGGUGCAAGCGUUAAUCGGAAUCACUGGGCGUAAAGCGCACGUAGGCUGUUUGGUAAGUCAGGGGUGAAAUCCCGCAGCUCAACUGCGGAAUUGCCCUUGAUACUGCUGGACUUGAGUUCGGGAGAGGGUGGCGGAAUUCCAGGUGUAGGAGUGAAAUCCGUAGAUAUCUGGAGGAACAUCAGUGGCGAAGGCGGCCACCUGGACCGAUACUGACGCUGAGGUGCGAAAGCGUGGGGAGCAAAC
This 250-nucleotide ribosomal RNA is filed under the name uncultured bacterium. RNAcentral describes it as "partial 16S ribosomal RNA". It matches the Rfam family "Bacterial small subunit ribosomal RNA", at positions 524 to 773 of the family's 1533-position model. The record is from RNAcentral.